UACGUAGGGGGCUAGCGUUGUCCGGAAUCAUUGGGCGUAAAGAGCGCGUAGGCGGCCAGAUAAGUCCGGUGUGAAAGUCACAGGCUCAACCUGUGAAUGCCGCUGGAAACUGUCUGGCUAGAGUCCGGAAGGGGCGAGUGGAAUUCCUGGUGUAGCGGUGAAAUGCGCAGAUAUCAGGAGGAACACCAAUGGCGAAGGCAGCUCGCUGGAACGGUACUGACGCUGAGGUGCGAAAGCGUGGGGAGCAAACAGG
RNAcentral lists this ribosomal RNA (253 nucleotides) under uncultured bacterium. RNAcentral's name for it is "partial 16S ribosomal RNA". It matches the Rfam family "Bacterial small subunit ribosomal RNA", at positions 524 to 776 of the family's 1533-position model. The record is from RNAcentral.